This 298-nucleotide long non-coding RNA is filed under the name Elaeis guineensis (African oil palm). RNAcentral describes it as "long non-coding RNA (EGUI_LNC047354)". The record is from RNAcentral. Lineage: Eukaryota; Viridiplantae; Streptophyta; Magnoliopsida; Arecales; Arecaceae.
GGUGGCGAUGGUUACUGCGGCCUGUCAGGGAAUUAUGGAACUGCGCGGAGUCCGCCACAGGAAGUGGAGCAGGAUCAUGGUUGUUAUUGUGAUCUGCCAGGGGGCGCGGAUCUGUUGAUCGAGGCUCGGCAGUGGUCGGAGUUCGGUCUCUGUAGGAGUCCGGGAGGGGUCCUCCUUUCGGUUGAGGUCGUGGGUGGAGUCCGGCUCCUGUAAGGGUCAGAACCCUCUGCAAUCAAAGUUAAAGAUGAUGUCCGGCUCCCGUAGGAGUCCGGACGAAGCUUACCAGCAGCUGACACUG